RNAcentral lists this microRNA precursor (76 nucleotides) under Alligator mississippiensis (American alligator). RNAcentral describes it as "microRNA ami-mir-9609 precursor". Lineage: Eukaryota; Metazoa; Chordata; Crocodylia; Alligatoridae. The record is from miRBase by way of RNAcentral.
CUGUGUUGCCUGUGAGUCCAUGCUCAGCUCUCAUGUUUCUCCAGCACAGGGGCUGCUCCAUGGAAGCAAAGGCUCU